AGUAACGCGUGGAUAACCUGCCUUACACUGGGGGAUAACACUUAGAAAUAGGUGCUAAUACCGCAUAAGCGCACAGAGCCGCAUGGCUCAGUGUGAAAAACUCCGGUGGUGUAAGAUGGAUCCGCGUCUGAUUAGCUGGUUGGCGGGGUAGAAGCCCACCAAGGCGACGAUCAGUAGCCGGCCUGAGAGGGUGAACGGCCACAUUGGGACCUGAGACACGGCCCAAACUCCUACGGAAGGCAGCAG
This 246-nucleotide ribosomal RNA is filed under the name uncultured bacterium. RNAcentral's name for it is "partial 16S ribosomal RNA". It matches the Rfam family "Bacterial small subunit ribosomal RNA", at positions 109 to 354 of the family's 1533-position model. The record is from RNAcentral.